CCCUUAGAUGUUCUGGGCCGCACGAGCGCUACACUGAUGCAUUCAACGAGCCUAUCCUUGACCGACAGGUCCGGGUAAUCUUUGAAUCUGCAUCGUGACGGGGAUAGAUUAUUGCAAUUAUUAAUCUUCAACGAGGAAUGCCUAGUAGGCGCAAGUCAUCAGCUUGCGUCGAUUACGUCCCUGCCCUUUGUACACACCGCCCGUCGCUCCUACCGAUUGGGUGUGCUGGUGAAAUGUUCGGAUCGGCCGUUUGUCGCGGUUUCCGCGUCAUGUGGCUGAGAAGUUCAUUAAACCCUCCCACCUAGAGGAAGGAGAAGUCGUAACA
Molecule: ribosomal RNA, 325 nt
Filed under: uncultured eukaryote
Lineage: Eukaryota
Description: partial 18S ribosomal RNA
Rfam family: Eukaryotic small subunit ribosomal RNA
Source: RNAcentral